Long non-coding RNA from Cornus florida, 1877 nucleotides. RefSeq lists it as uncharacterized. NCBI's taxonomy places the organism in Eukaryota, Viridiplantae, Streptophyta, Magnoliopsida, Cornales, Cornaceae. The record is from RefSeq and is a predicted model, not a curated record. The transcript has 9 exons.
CCCACUUCAUUCUCAGUAUUCAUGGUUCAAUUCAUGAAGGGCUCAAUGGCGAUCUGCACGAGAUUACAAGGUUUUCAUUGGUGAUCCUCAACAGUAGAAGGAUAUAUCUGCUAUUAUCAUAUUUAAAAGUUCUGACGGUGGGCUAUAAACACUGCUUGAGACAAGGGCGCUGUUAUCGUGACUUCCUUUUAUUCAAAUUGUUGCUCUGUAUGCAGAUUUUCAGAAUAUAUGGCUCCAGGUCGUAGAUCACUGAAAGUUGUCACAUGUUAUUCUCCGGAUCCCAUUCCACUUACCGCAAGUCCAGAUGUUGUUGCUCUAUCCACUGACUCUCCUUCGAAACCCAGUCCACUUACCACGAGUCCAAAUCUUGUGGCUUCAUCCACCGACUCUUCUUCUGAUUGCGUUCCUCCAAUGUUUGUAAAUCGUCGAGGAAAAUCAAAGAACUGUUCACUAAAUACCUAUCGGAGUAAGAACAAUUUAGUCUUAAUAGAAAUUGAGAUUCUACCAGGGAUAUGGAAGCCUGUCAAUGGUUGGAGCAAAGAGUGGACAACUGAAUUGGGAAUCCAGGUUCGGCAAUAUGCGCCAUAUCAUAAGAAUUGGAAGCAUAUACUGCAAGCUAAGAAAGAGUUGAUUUAUAAAAUUAUAAAGGGUAAAUUCAAAAUGAGAUGAGGAUCCCCAUAUCAUGAGAUGUAUUGAUAAGCAACUGAAAAAACAAUUGAAGGAUUUCAGAUGCAGGCUACAUAGACAUUUUCUCAAGUUUUCCCCAGAGGAGGUGCACUCUCAUCCUUAUAAAUCUAUCACUCAAGAAAACUGGGAUCUUGUAUGCAAUAGGUUUAUGUCUGAACAAUUUAAGCGAGGAAGUAAGACAAACAAAAGGAAUAGGGAAAAGAAUAAAGUCCCGCAUCGUGGUGGAUUGAAAUCAUUUGUUUGAUGUCAUGAAGAGCUGCGGGAUGCCGAAACACAACAACUUCCUAGCAGGAUCAAACUCUAUGAGAAGACACAUUUUCAUCCGGAUAAAGGCUGGAGCUGUCCGCGUGCUAAAGAGCUUUAUGCAAAGAAACCUUUUAUUUAUUUUUUUUCUAUCCUUCCAUGUAUCAAUCUAUUGCUCUAACAAAAUUUACCAUUAGUUAAAUUAUAGGAUACCAUGGUUGCAAAACUCCAAGAAUCUCAAUCAGUUGGAGACAAUGAUUCUCCAAUGAUUGAGGAUGAUAUUGUAGAUGAAGUUCUUGGUACGACAUCAACUUAUGUGGAUGGCCUCGGACAUGGCGUGAUAGCUUCAUCUUCUAAUUCUAGCCUACGUGAGCAAAUCGUGGUGGCUAACAAGAGAAAUGUUAUAUUGGAGUCUGAAAUUGAAGCUCUUAAGAGGGAUGCUAUGGAGAAAAAUGCUCUUCUAGAGUUAGAGACUGAAAAGGCUAAUAGAGAGGCUUCAGAUGCUAAAAGAGAGGCUGCCAAAGCUGUAGAGCAAUGCAGCAAAAUGGCCGAAAUGUAUAAGGUCAUCAUGGAAAAGCUCAAUAAUACUAACUAAAGGUUGGACCGGAAUGUAGGUAAGAAGCUCUUUUUGAUUUGCCAUAUUUACAGGGAACUUUUGAUCACAAGUCAGUGCCUCCAAUUGAUUCAUCACCAUCUUUUGUUGCUCUAAUCAAGCAUGUUAGUGAUAAUGCAAUUGACAUGCCAUGGAUAUUUGUAAUGGAGUUGUUUUGGAUAUAAUUAAGUCUUAUUUUGUUAUAGAUUUGCUUUAGAUAUAUGUAAUAUUUGUGUAUAGGUAGGAUUUGUAGUAUAUAUAUAUAUAUAUAUAUAUAUAUACAUGUUAGAUAGUUUUUGUUAAAUGGCAGGAUAGUUUUUGUUAAAUGUCCAUAUAUUUUGACUCUUGUUAUGAA